This 24-nucleotide non-coding RNA is filed under the name Rattus norvegicus (Norway rat). Lineage: Eukaryota; Metazoa; Chordata; Mammalia; Rodentia; Muridae. The record is from RNAcentral.
UGGGAGUGUUUGUCGUCGGGGUGU